Molecule: long non-coding RNA, 256 nt
Filed under: Elaeis guineensis (African oil palm)
Lineage: Eukaryota; Viridiplantae; Streptophyta; Magnoliopsida; Arecales; Arecaceae
Description: long non-coding RNA (EGUI_LNC056821)
Source: RNAcentral
GUUGUCUUAGAUUAGAUCAAGGAUUUUCUAGAUCAAUUACAAUAGUUGUAGUUGGUCAAGUCCAUGUCUUUAACAAGAACUAAAUGGACUUGAUUCUUGGCUAAGCGGUCUAGCACGAACUGUUAGGUUGAUCUAAUCGAAACUAAUUAAACCAGUUAGUGUCUAAGGUAAACCAGACCAGUGAUUUUUAAUUGGGAGCCCGCUUACCUGGCCAUUUUUGAUAGUGUCUAAGGCAAGCUUUGGCCGACCCUCCCAC